GUGCUCAUUCUGAGAACACUUAUGCCAAAAGGUGCAAUGAUACAGAGAUUAGCGUGGGUCCCUCACAAGGAUGAUGCACACAUUCGUGAGAUGCAUCAUAUUUAU
This is a small nuclear RNA of Callithrix jacchus (white-tufted-ear marmoset), 105 nucleotides long. The record is from Ensembl. Lineage: Eukaryota; Metazoa; Chordata; Mammalia; Primates; Cebidae.